AUACGUAGGUGGCAAGCGUUGUCCGGAAUUAUUGGGCGUAAAGAGGGAGCAGGCGGCAGCAAGGGUCUGUGGUGAAAGCCUGAAGCUUAACUUCAGUAAGCCAUAGAAACCAGGCAGCUAGAGUGCAGGAGAGGAUCGUGGAAUUCCAUGUGUAGCGGUGAAAUGCGUAGAUAUAUGGAGGAACACCAGUGGCGAAGGCGACGAUCUGGCCUGCAACUGACGCUCAGUCCCGAAAGCGUGGGGAGCAAAUAGGAUUAGAUACCCUAGUAGUCCACGCCGUAAACGAUGAGUACUAAGUGUUGGAUGUCAAAGUUCAGUGCUGCAGUUAACGCAAUAAGUACUCCGCCUGAGUAGUACGUUCGCAAGAAUGAAACUUAAAGGAAUUGACGGGG
Molecule: ribosomal RNA, 392 nt
Filed under: uncultured bacterium
Lineage: Bacteria
Description: partial 16S ribosomal RNA
Rfam family: Bacterial small subunit ribosomal RNA
Source: RNAcentral